UUUUUGAUGUUUUGCAUCUCAUUGGAGUGCAACAGACAAGAAAAUAACAUCCGACUUAAAAUCUUCCAUUUUGCAGAUCCUUGUCCAUUUUUGGACCAAAUUCUCUUCUCAAAGGAAGAUUAAAUAAAUGCUGGCGGCCACAUGAAGUUGCAAUGUGUGAGGAACAAAGAGAAAGCAGAGAUUUUUAUGGAAUUGUGAUGAGACUCAACAACCUUUGUCCUGAAGUCUUCCUCUCUGCAUAUAACACCUGCCAAAGCAGAACCUGUGUCAUAUGAGACUGCGGUUUGUCAUUAAAGAUGAAUUAUUCGGGAAAUAACAUGACGGCACAACUGAAAAAAACAAUUUUCCAAGGAAAAAUACUGUAAUUGCAGUCCAUAUGUGU
This is a long non-coding RNA of Anguilla anguilla (European eel), 382 nucleotides long. RefSeq lists it as uncharacterized. The transcript has 3 exons. The record is from RefSeq and is a predicted model, not a curated record. Lineage: Eukaryota; Metazoa; Chordata; Actinopteri; Anguilliformes; Anguillidae.